RNAcentral lists this ribosomal RNA (207 nucleotides) under uncultured bacterium. RNAcentral's name for it is "partial 16S ribosomal RNA". It matches the Rfam family "Bacterial small subunit ribosomal RNA", at positions 568 to 774 of the family's 1533-position model. The record is from RNAcentral.
AGCGCAGGCGGGAGAACAAGUUGGAAGUGAAAUCCAUGGGCUCAACCCAUGAACUGCUUUCAAAACUGUUUUUCUUGAGUAGUGCAGAGGUAGGCGGAGUUCCCGGUGUAGCGGUGGAAUGCGUAGAUAUCGGGAGGAACACCAGUGGCGAAGGCGGCCUACUGGGCACCAACUGACGCUGAGGCUCGAAAGUGUGGGUAGCAAACA